This 381-nucleotide unclassified non-coding RNA is filed under the name uncultured Penicillium. Its description in RNAcentral is "sequence contains ITS2". The stretch from base 1 to 154 matches the Rfam family "5.8S ribosomal RNA". The record is from RNAcentral. Lineage: Eukaryota; Fungi; Ascomycota; Eurotiomycetes; Eurotiales; Aspergillaceae.
AACUUUUAACAAUGGAUCACUUGGUUCCGGCAUCGAUGAAGAACGCAGCGAAAUGCGAUACGUAAUGUGAAUUGCAGAAUUCAGUGAAUCAUCGAGUCUUUGAACGCACAUUGCGCCCUCUGGUAUUCCGGAGGGCAUGCCUGUCCGAGCGUCAUUGCUGCCCUCAAGCACGGCUUGUGUGUUGGGCUCCGUCCCCCGAUCCCGGGGGGACGGGCCCGAAAGGCAGCGGCGGCACCGCGUCCGGUCCUCGAGCGUAUGGGGCUUUGUCACCCGCUCUGUAGGCCCGGCCGGCGCCUGCCGAUCAACCAAAUUUUUAUCCAGGUUGACCUCGGAUCAGGUAGGGAUACCCGCUGAACUUAAGCAUAUCAAUAAGCGGAGGCU